UGGGGCGGGCUUACCAUGCAGUCGUACCAUGGAAGACAGUUCGGGGUGGAUUAGUGGCGAACGGGUGAGUAACACGUGGGCAAUCUGCCCUUCACUCUGGGACAAGCCCUGGAAACGGGGUCUAAUACCGGAUAUGACACACGACCGCAUGGUCUGUGUGUGGAAAGCUCCGGCGGUGAAGGAUGAGCCCGCGGCCUAUCAGCUUGUUGGUGGGGUGAUGGCCUACCAAGGCGACGACGGGUAGCCGGCCUGAGAGGGCGACCGGCCACACUGGGACUGAGACACGGCCCAGACUCCUACGGGAGGCAGCAGUGGGGAAUAUUGCACAAUGGGCGAAAGCCUGAUGCAGCGACGCCGCGUGAGGGAUGACGGCCUUCGGGUUGUAAACCUCUUUCAGCAGGGAAGAAGCGAGAGUGACGGUACCUGCAGAAGAAGCGCCGGCUAACUACGUGCCAGCAGCCGCGGUAAUACGUAGGGCGCAAGCGUUGUCCGGAAUUAUUGGGCGUAAAGAGCUCGUAGGCGGCUUGUCACGUCGGAUGUGAAAGCCCGGGGCUUAACCCCGGGUCUGCAUUCGAUACGGGCAGGCUAGAGUUCGGUAGGGGAGAUCGGAAUUCCUGGUGUAGCGGUGAAAUGCGCAGAUAUCAGGAGGAACACCGGUGGCGAAGGCGGAUCUCUGGGCCGAUACUGACGCUGAGGAGCGAAAGCGUGGGGAGCGAACAGGAUUAGAUACCCUGGUAGUCCACGCCGUAAACGUUGGGAACUAGGUGUGGGCGACAUUCC
Molecule: ribosomal RNA, 780 nt
Filed under: Streptomyces sioyaensis
Lineage: Bacteria; Bacillati; Actinomycetota; Actinomycetes; Kitasatosporales; Streptomycetaceae
Description: bacterial SSU rRNA
Rfam family: Bacterial small subunit ribosomal RNA
Source: RNAcentral